This 465-nucleotide ribosomal RNA is filed under the name uncultured Klebsiella sp. RNAcentral's name for it is "bacterial SSU rRNA". It matches the Rfam family "Bacterial small subunit ribosomal RNA", at positions 338 to 795 of the family's 1533-position model. The record is from RNAcentral. Lineage: Bacteria; Pseudomonadati; Pseudomonadota; Gammaproteobacteria; Enterobacterales; Enterobacteriaceae.
CCUACGGGUGGCAGCAGUGGGGAAUAUUGCACAAUGGGCGCAAGCCUGAUGCAGCCAUGCCGCGUGUGUGAAGAAGGCCUUCGGGUUGUAAAGCACUUUCAGCGGGGAGGAAGGCGUUAAGGUUAAUAACCUUGGCGAUUGACGUUACCCGCAGAAGAAGCACCGGCUAACUCCGUGCCAGCAGCCGCGGUAAUACGGAGGGUGCAAGCGUUAAUCGGAAUUACUGGGCGUAAAGCGCACGCAGGCGGUCUGUCAAGUCGGAUGUGAAAUCCCCGGGCUCAACCUGGGAACUGCAUUCGAAACUGGCAGGCUAGAGUCGUGUAGAGGGGGGUAGAAUUCCAGGUGUAGCGGUGAAAUGCGUAGAGAUCUGGAGGAAUACCGGUGGCGAAGGCGGCCCCCUGGACAAAGACUGACGCUCAGGUGCGAAAGCGUGGGGAGCAAACAGGAUUAGAUACCCCGGUAGUC